UGAGUUUCCACCGGUGCACACAGGUUGUAGAUUUGAGGGUUUUGUUUCUUUGUUUUUUGAUUUAUUUGUUUAUUUUUGAGUUUUUGGCUAUUUCCUUGAAGAUUAUAGAUCUGAUUCCUUAGGGGAUAUAGCAAAAUGAUCAUGGAUGGAAUUUCAGCACUGUCCACCGUUCCGUUUCCCCUGAGUCAUCACCACAAAGAAAGCUUUCUCUGGACUCUCUCUUCUCUUCCCUGUGAGCCUGUGAGCUCUUAGAGAAUUUCUUGAAGGAAAAACAUGAAAGGGAGGCGUUGACUUUCUUUCUGUAACCUGCAGUAUCUUCACACUCUCAUGCUAGCCCACACUUGACUUUAAGGAAUUCUUAAAAUUCCAAGCUGCAGCUUCUUACUAGUUUCUAUGGUGUUCUGUGGCCUCUACGACAGUUUAUUUUUAUGAAUUUCAGCCAAGGAGUUGUCACCCUCCUAAAGCACUACAAUUAAAUCUAGAUUGCUAUUCCCAUCUGAGUAUUUAUG
This 509-nucleotide long non-coding RNA is filed under the name Homo sapiens (human). Its description in RNAcentral is "HSALNT0008991". The record is from RNAcentral. Lineage: Eukaryota; Metazoa; Chordata; Mammalia; Primates; Hominidae.